RNAcentral lists this ribosomal RNA (194 nucleotides) under uncultured marine bacterium. RNAcentral describes it as "partial 16S ribosomal RNA". It matches the Rfam family "Bacterial small subunit ribosomal RNA", at positions 338 to 524 of the family's 1533-position model. The record is from RNAcentral.
CCUACGGGAGGCAGCAGUGGGGAAUUUUGGACAAUGGGGGCAACCCUGAUCCAGCCAUUCCGCGUGAGUGAAGAAGGCCUUCGGGUUGUAAAGCUCUUUCGCAAGAGAAGAAAACUUGCUAUCUAAUAAAUAGUAAGUAUGACGGUAUCUUGACAAGAAGCACCGGCUAACUACGUGCCAGCAGCCGCGGUAAU